This 1388-nucleotide long non-coding RNA is filed under the name Phasianus colchicus (ring-necked pheasant). RNAcentral describes it as "lncRNA (ENSPCLG00000015960.1)". The record is from RNAcentral. Lineage: Eukaryota; Metazoa; Chordata; Aves; Galliformes; Phasianidae.
GGAAUAUUCUUAAUGAGUUUUUUAAAAUUUCCUAAAAGCUAUGAGACUCUGCAUUUAACAAUAUUUAUGUAGUGUCUUGUUCCAGAUGAGGGUGCCCGGUUGAGUGUCUUUUGUUUUCAUUUGUCCAAUGCCUGUAUAGGGCUGCAUUGCCUUGAGAAAUUGUCUAGGCAGAUGGUGGACUGAAAAAUAUCUUCUCAGGCAUGCUUGUUCUUUAUAAAUUGUUUGGUCCACAAUACUAGCUGUGAGCCAUACAAGGAGCAAAGCUGUAAACUGGAUUCUGAAAGUGACUGGAGUUCAGCAGAUAAAACUGAGCAAGAUCUUUGUUUACUACUUACAUCCUGAGAAACAGAAUAGUUUGAUAUGGUCUGUGUUGAGCCUUGGAUAAAUGAAUUAAAGUAAUCCAGCUCAGAAGUUCUCGUGGUGGGGUCAUUGUGACCAUUGUUUAUCUGGGGAGGAGGGUUGACUCUUGCUUGGCUGGAGAUGAUAAAAGGCCUUCUUUCAGACUUAAUAUAAGCAGCCUGAGGGUUUAACUUGGUGUACUUUGAAAGAUGCUGUAUGGAGGAUAAGGCCUGUCAUUUGAAUAGUUCUUCAAAGGACUUCUACCUACUAAUCAGCAGUACCUCAGCCAUACUGGCUCCUCUUAAGAUCAGCCUUGAAGGCGUACUGAAGUCUUAUGGGAGAUUACUGGUGAUGAAUACACUUUAGUAUUUGCUGUCAGCAGCAAUAGAUCCUGUUGAGCUCCAUUAUUGAAAGGCCUGAAGCAAUCCUGGCUGUGCUCCCUCUGGGGCUAGUAUUUAGGUCUUUGCAUACAAGGGCAGUAUCUGUCUACAUGACAGUUACGUUGCUCAAAAUCUGAGUUAUGUUCCCAGGCAAGCUGUUGGUCAUCUGCAUGGAACUGAGAAGGUAGUCACAGCCAGCAGCAAAAUGAUGCUCCCUGCAGCAAAGGAGAACUAAGGCUAUUAAUGCUCUUGAGGCCUGGCUUUUUCCUGUCACAUCUGUUCCAGGAGAUGCACAUAUCUAUUCCUAGCACAGCUUGAGAAAAUCCAGCACUGCAAGAUACAUGGUAGUUCUCUUCUCAUCAUUCAUCAUUUACCUUUCAGGUUCCCCAUAGCUGCUCUCAUUGGUCAGCCUGGAGGUCCAAGGGGAGUCCUGUGUAUGUACAGACCUCUGACAUCCUGCAACUGCAGCUCUCACCAUGUGCAUGGCAUUUAUUGCCAACAGACUGACCCUGCAGAAACUGAUAAGCAUUUGAAGACCACAUCAAAGAAGGGAACAGACUAUUUGUUGAUUUUAUGUAUGAGACACCAGCAGUUCUUAAACGUCUAAAGCUGUACUCUGGAAAGACCUGUGAAAAUAAAAGGUUUUUUGUACUGAAGAGAAAAUUGUAA